CUCAGGGACAACAACGUCACAUUAGAAAGACACCCUGUAUUUUUCCUCACUACUUUACAUCGGCCCUUGAGAGCAUAACACUGCGUUCAUCAGCAUCGCAAAGCUAACAGCGUUCUUUUUAACAUGGACAUCAUAUAUGCCUGAUUUUUAGGAGCUCGACACAACGGGACACCCCACGUUCCACUUACACAAGGAUCACAAAGCUAUAUUGGGCAAACUACACCUCUAAAAAACACAAGGGUCAAUAAGUUGUCCAGAAAAACCUGCAGAAGCGGGAGCAAUAAGACCAAGCCUUACGUUAGGUAUGUAUAUGUAUGUGUGUGCGUGUGUAUGUUUCCAACACCCGUCUAUCUCCACAGCGAUCACACAACCCCUUAACACUAUGGGCCCCAUGAAGACCCCUUGAUGGUUUUUGGAAUAUUUACACGAUAUUGAACUCCCAGAACAGAAAACAACAACAAGAAAAACCACAACCUUUGUGCAACAGCGGAGACUCGGAACCAUUCUUCAUCACCGGACCACACAUACCUGCGAGUGAGUGUCUGCCUAGUGAUUUCAGCGAUGUUUUUGAGUACAGUCUAUCAGAUUUCAAUAUAAAUGACAUACCCACCACGCCAGAAUGUCUCAGAAACAACAACAGUGAUUCAGACAUCGGUUGUGAAGAAGGAUGCAUAACAGACUCGCAAAUAUCACAGGCAU
Long non-coding RNA from Oreochromis aureus, 699 nucleotides. Lineage: Eukaryota; Metazoa; Chordata; Actinopteri; Cichliformes; Cichlidae. The record is from Ensembl.